RNAcentral lists this ribosomal RNA (497 nucleotides) under uncultured bacterium. RNAcentral describes it as "partial 16S ribosomal RNA". It matches the Rfam family "Bacterial small subunit ribosomal RNA", at positions 28 to 507 of the family's 1533-position model. The record is from RNAcentral.
GAUGAACGCUGGCGGCGUGCCUAAUACAUGCAAGUCGAGCGAACAGACGAGGAGCUUGCUCCGCUGACGUUAGCGGCGGACGGGUGAGUAACACGUGGAUAACCUACCUAUAAGACUGGGAUAACUUCGGGAAACCGGAGCUAAUACCGGAUAAUAUAUUGAACCGCAUGGUUCAAUAGUGAAAGACGGUUUUGCUGUCACUUAUAGAUGGAUCCGCGCCGCAUUAGCUAGUUGGUAAGGUAACGGCUUACCAAGGCAACGAUGCGUAGCCGACCUGAGAGGGUGAUCGGCCACACUGGAACUUAGACACGGUCCAGACUCCUACGGGAGGCAGCAGUAGGGAAUCUUCCGCAAUGGGCGAAAGCCUUACGGAGCAACGCCGCGUGAGUGAUGAAGGUCUUCGGAUCGUAAAGCUCUGUUAUUAGGUAAGAACAAAUGUGUAAGUAACUAUGCACGUCUUGACGGUACCUAAUCAGAAAGCCACGGCUAACUACGUG